This 524-nucleotide unclassified non-coding RNA is filed under the name Hevea brasiliensis (rubber tree). The record is from RNAcentral. Lineage: Eukaryota; Viridiplantae; Streptophyta; Magnoliopsida; Malpighiales; Euphorbiaceae.
GCACACACACACAUAAUGGGCAAAUUAUGGUACACAGAGCUAAAAAUAAUCACUUCAAAUUAAAGACUAAAACCCAGAUGUAAAAGUCAUCCAAAAAUAUUUGCAAAUGCAGAACAUAUUCUAUAGUGUUCUCACUCGUGCCUAACCAGAUAACAAUCCCAGUAAUCUCCUGCUAUGCAGACUACACCAAUCCCAGUAAUUCCCUGCUAUGCAGACCAAACCAAUCCCAGCAAUCCCCUGCUAUUCAGACUUUAGAGAAAGCACAAAACUUGAGAAGAUGUGUUCCAUCCAAAAUUAGAGUCAUUUAUCUCCUAAUUAUAAUAAUUUCUCAGUUUAUGUAUAUAUAACGGUCACCAAAAUUUAGCCUAAAAUGUCCAUUGUAUCUAUUUCUAUUUUUAUCUGCAUAUAAAUAAGAAGAAUCAAUCACACCAGAAGCAGACAAGAAAACAAAAAAGGGAAAAAAUUGGAAUUCCUGAAAAACAGAAAACCAUACCGUAAGUUUUUUUGACAGGCUCAUCGACAGG